GAUGAACGCUAGCGGCAGGCUUAACACAUGCAAGUCGAGGGGUAUAGUUCUUCGGAAUUAGAGACCGGCGCACGGGUGCGUAACGCGUAUGCAAUCUACCUUUCACAGAGGGAUAGCCCCAGAGAAAUUUGGAUUAAUACCUCAUAGUAUAGCAGUUUCGCAUGAAACCACUAUUAAAGUCACAACGGUGAAAGAUGAGCAUGCGUCCAUUAGCUAGUUGGUAAGGUAACGGCUUACCAAGGCAACGAUGGGUAGGGUCCUGAGAGGGAGAUCCCCCACACUGGUACUGAGACACGGACCAGACUCCUACGGGAGGCAGCAGUGAGGAAUAUUGGUCAAUGGACGCAAGUCUGAACCAGCCAUGCCGUCGUAGGGAGGAUGAAGGUCCUC
Molecule: ribosomal RNA, 390 nt
Filed under: uncultured bacterium
Lineage: Bacteria
Description: bacterial SSU rRNA
Rfam family: Bacterial small subunit ribosomal RNA
Source: RNAcentral